Lontra canadensis (Northern American river otter) is the source of this 134-nucleotide long non-coding RNA. RefSeq lists it as uncharacterized. Lineage: Eukaryota; Metazoa; Chordata; Mammalia; Carnivora; Mustelidae. The transcript is spliced from 3 exons. The record is from RefSeq and is a predicted model, not a curated record.
AAAUUGCCCAUCACAGACUGCCCUCACCCCAUACCUUCCGAUCACCAAAUAUGGAUGUGAGCCCAUGCCCUACCUUGGCCCGAUAAAAGACCCCUCCCCCACCAACUCCCUCCCAGUGCGACUUCCCUCACUCC